AUCAAUAUUUUGUGUAUUUAAAGUGGAGAAUAUAUAUUUUGUGUAUUUAAAAUGGAGAGCUCCAUAAAUAUUUAUUAAGUUUACUUGUUCCGGAUCUGAGUUCAAGUCCUGGUUGUCCUCAUCAAUUUUCUGUCUCGUUGAGUCUAAAUCUCUUUAUAGGUCUUAUGUAUCUGGGUGUUAGGAUCGUUAGCUCUUAUUGUUGCAUUGAUCCUUUUACCACUAUAUCUUUGUUGCUUUGAAAUCUAUUUCAAAUGGAUCUUAUAGAACACAUAUAUAGAACAUGAAAUGCAACUUCAAAACCCAUUUGUUUUCAAGUAUACAAUGAACAUUUACCAAAAUAGACCAUUUUCUGGACCAAUAAGGCAACUCUCAAUACAUUUCAAAUAACAGAAGUCAUACAAACCACACUCUGACGGCAGUGCAAUUAAAACAGGAGUUCACUGUCAGGAAGAUAAUCGGAAAAAUUUCCAAAUGUUUGUAAAUCUAACAAAUAUUUCUACAUAACUGAUAUGUCAAAAAGAAAUCAUGAUGGAAACUGGAUGAUAUAUUGAAAUGAACAAUAAUGAAAAUAUUACAUAUCAAAAUUUAUUGAGUGUAGGUAAAGCAAUACUUAGAGGAAGAUUAAAAACUUUAAAUUAAUAUACUAGAAAAGAGAAAAAAGUCAAUUAUUUUAGUGAGGGAUUAGCCACUUUUUUCUGUAACUGUCCAGAUAGUAAAUAUUUAGUCUCUGCAGGCCACGUGGUCUCUUGCAGUUACUCAAUUCUGCCCUUGCAGCAUGAAGUAGCCGUAGACAAUACAUAAAAGUGUAUCCAUUAAAUUUGAUUUACAGAAACAGAUGGCAUGUCAGAUUUGGUCCUCAGGCUGGAGUUUGCCAACCUAUGACCUAAACUUCAAACCCAGGUAACUAAACAGGAAAAUAGAAAGGAGGAUGAAAAUAGUAAAGAUAGGAUUAGACUAAUGAAACAGGCCAGGUGAGGUGACUCACACUUGUAAUCCCAGAAAUUUGGGAAGCUGAGGCAGGAAGAUCACUUCAGGCCAGGAGUUCGAGACCAGCUUGGUCAACAACGUGAAAACCUGCCUCUACUAAAAAUACAAAAAUUAGCUAGGCAUGGUGGUGCAUGCCUGUAGUCCCAGCAACUUGGGAGGCUGAGGCACAAGAAUCUCCCUUAUCAUUUCUCAUUGUGUUUAUUUGAGUCUUCUCUCUUUUCUUCUUUAUUAGUCUUGCUAGUGGUCUAUGCAUUUUAUUGAUUUUUUUUUUCUCGAAAAAUCAGCUCCUGGAUUUCUUGAUUUUUUGAAGGGAUUUUCAAGUCUAUCUAUCUCCUUCAGUUUCACUAUGAGCUUGGUUAUUUUUCAUCUUCUGCUGGCUCUGGGGUUUGUUUGCUCUUGGUUUUCUAGUUCUUUUAGCUGUGAUGUUAGGGUGUCAAUUUGAGCUCUUUCUAGCUUUUUGAUGUGGGCAAUUAGUUCUAUAAAUAUAUCUCAUAACACUGCUUUUGCUGCACCCCCAAGAUUCUGGUACAUUGUCUCUUUCUUCCCAUUGGCUUUAAAUAACUUUCUGAUUUCUGCCUUAAUUUCAUUAUAUACCCGGGGGUGUUCAGGACCAGGUAUUCAAUUUCCAUGUAGUUGUGUGGUUUUGAGUGGGCUUCUUAAUCUUGAAUUCUAAUUUGAUUGCACUGUGGCCUGAAAGACUUAUUAUUUCAGUUCUUUUCCAUUUGAUGAGGAGUGUUUUACUUCCAAUUAUGUGAUGAAUUUUAGAUUAAGUGCCAUGUGACACCAAAAAAAUGUAUAUUCUGUUGUUUUGGGGUAGAGGGUUCUGUAAAUAUCCAUCAGGUGGUCCACUUGGUCUGAAGCUGAGUUCAAGCAUUGAAUAUAUUUGUUAAUUUUCUGUCUUGAUCUGUCUAAUAUCGACAGUGAGGCAUUAAAGUUUCCCACUAUUAUUGUGUGGGGAUCUAAGUCUCCUUGUAGAUCUUUAAGAACUUGUUUUAUGAAUCUGGGUGUUCCCGUAUGGGUGCAUAUAUAUAUGAUAGUUAACUCUUCCUGUUGAAUAGAUCCCUUUAUCAUUAUUUAAUGCCCUUCUUUCUCUUUUUUGACCUUUGUUGGUUUAAAGUUUAUUUUAUCAGAAACAAGAAUUGCAACCCCUGCUUUUUUCUGCUUUCUACUUGCUUGGUAAAUUUUCCUCCAUCCCUUAAUUUUGAGUUUAUGUGCAUCUUUGCACAUGAAAUGUGUCUCUUAAAUACAUCAUACCUAUGCGUCUUGUUUUUAUCCAGCUUGUCAUUCUGUGCCUUUUAAUUGGUGCAUUUAGCUCAUUUACAUUUAAGUUUAAUAUUGUUAUGUGUGAAUAUGAAACUGUCAUCAUGAUACUGGCUGGUUAAUUUUGCAGACUUGUUAAUGUAGUUGCUUCAUAUUGUCACAGUCUGUGUACUUGAGUGUGUUUUUGUAGUACCUGGUAAUAGAUUUUCCUAUCCAUGUUUAGUGCUUCCUUCAUGAGCUCUUGCAAGGCAGGCCUAGUGGUGAUGAAAUCCCUCAGCAUUUUCUUGUCUGAAAAGAUUUUAUUUCUCCUUUGCUUAUGAAGCUUAGUUUGGCCAGAUAUGAAAUUCUGGGUUGGCAUUUAUUUUAUUUAAGAAUGUUUAAUAUUGGCCCCCCAAUUUCAUCUGGCUUGUAGGGUUUCUGUUGAGAGAUCUGCUUGUUAGUCUGACGGGCUUCCUUUUAUAGGUGACCUGGCCUUUCUCUCUGACUGACCUUAACAUUUUUUUCCUUCAUUUAGAUAUUGGAGAACCUGAUGAUUAUGUGCCUUGGGGUAGAUUUUUUGAUGGAGUAUCAUUGGGGCUCUCUGGAUUUCCUGAAUUUGAAUACCAGCCUCUCUUGCUAGGUUGGGGAAGUUCUGGUUGAUCUCCUGAGGUGUGAUUUCCAUCUUGGUUAAAUUCUCCCCAACUCUUUCAGGUCUGCUGCGGUUUGCUUGGGGUCCACUUCAGACCCUGUUCACCCGGGUAUCAACAGUGGAGGCUACAGAACAGCAAAGAUUGCUACCUGCUCCUUUCUCCAGAAGCUUCUUCCCAGAGUGGCACCCACCUGAUGUCAACCAGAACUCUCCUGCAUGAGACCCCUGACGGGAGGUCUCACCCAGUCAGGAAUCUCGGGAUCUGGGACCUGCUUAGGCAGGCAGUCUGACUGUCUCUUAGCAGAGCUGGUGCUCUGUACUGGGGGAAAAGCCCUGAUAGCCUGAUAGCCCUCAUUGGGAUGAGCUGCUCUCUUCAGAGCCGGCAGGCGAGAAAGAUUAAGUCAGCUGAACCUGAGACCAUGGCUGCCCCUCCCCUCAGGUGCCCUGUCUUAGGGAGAUGAGAGUUCUGUCUGUAAGGCCCUGACUGGAGCUGCUGGAAUUCCUGCAAGGAUGCCCUGCCCGGUGAGAAGGGGUGGCUUUGGGUCCCACUGAGGAAGCAGUCUCUCCAUGAUCUGCAACAGCCACUUUGCUGUGCUGUGCGGAAUUCCACCCAGUCCAAACCUUCUAGUCUCCUUAGCACUGUCAAGGGAAAACUUCCAACUAAAGCCUCGCUAAUGGUGGUCGCCCCUCCCCCUGGGAACUCAGUUGUCCCAGGCCGACUCCAGACUGCUGUGCUGGCAGCGGGGAUUUCAAGCCAGCCGGUCUUAGCUUGCAGGGCUCCGUGGGAGUGGGACCCUCUGAGUUAGACUGCUUGGCACCCUGGCUACAGUUCCCUUUCCACAGGAGUGGACGUUUCUCCGGCCUCCCUGGAGUUCCAGGUGCUGCUGGAGUAAGUAAAAACUGCCGCUCAGCGCCUGCCCAAAUGGCUGCAGACAGGUGCGGCUGCACAGUACCUGGCAACCUUAAAUUCUCAAAUUAUAAUAGCUUGGUGGGCUUGGACAAGAGCUGCAAGAAGUGUCUGGAUGAACAGGCAGAGAAUCUUGUCCUCUUUUCUCACUUUCUUCCAAACAGACAGUCUCUUUCUCUCUGUUGAGCUGUCUAAAGCUGGGGGAGGGGCGACACAACUAUCCCUCUGGCCGCCACUCCUGGGACUGCACUGAGUCAAAUCUGAAGCCAGCACAUCACUGUGAUGCUGGGACCUUCACAUGCAGCUUAGAGUUUGUGGUCCAUUCUUAGUUUCCAAAUGUUCCACGUGCUCUGUGUUGAUGUGUCUCAUCUUUCCAUCUAGAUUGUCCCAGCAUCACCAAACAUCCCACACGCUGGUCAUGUCACCUUUGACACUUGCUUAAUUACUCUGAAUCUCUCUUUCCUUGAAAUAAAGAGAAGAGCAACCAUCCCUCUCACUUUCCCAAACUGUUGUAAGAAAUAAAGUGAAUAGUAGAACUGUGGUAUUUUAGCAUUGAAAGAAAACUCAGUGAUAUCCAAUCACUCCAUUUCCAGGUGAUGAAACAGGAUUCUGAGAAGUUCACGGAGUUCCUUUUCCCAGGUACAGAGCUAGCAAUGAUAACUAAAGCUAUCUUAAACUUACCGUAGCUAUACUUAGGUAGUGAUUCACUUAUGGAGCAAUUUUACAUAACUAAUUUAAUGAUUGUUCAUUCACAAAUAAGCCCCUGCUCCAUGCCUGGCCUGUGCUAGGCAGGGGGAUGAAGAUCAACAACAAGCUCCACCCUCUGGGAGCUGUGGCAUCUCAAGGGGGAGUGGCAAGAGGCCCUAAUUCAAGAGUGAAAGACAGCAUUGCUGGGGAGCACACAGCAGCGGCUGGGGCCAGGGAAGGUCUCAGACAGAUGAGGUCAAUGAGAGCCCUGGGCUACAGACAGCAGACUUUUAGGUGAGACGACAACCAAAUUCAAAUGGUACCUGUGGUUUUCAACCCCAAUAUUGGGCUGUCUCUGCAUCGAUAUCAUGCAAACUAAGCACAGAGGGAUCGGGGGAGGAUUCCUGGUGUUCCCCAGGCUGAGAGGGCUCAGAUCUUGGAAUGACUCUGGGAAGGGAGGUAGCUCAGGGCAGUGGUUGGGACACAGAUGGGCCAGACUGCCUAGGCCCAUGUCCUGGCUGACUCCUUUCUAGCUGCGUGGCAUGGACAAUCAUGACAACCUUGCUGUGUCUCGUUGUCUCAUCCACAAAUGGGUAGAACAGGGCAACUACGAGCACUGAAUGGGCCGAAACUUCCAAAGGCUUAAACCAUGGCCUGGUAUGUAGCCAGUGCAGCAAGAGUAUUGGAUGAUGAACCUUGUGCCCCCCAUUGGUGAAACAGGAAUGGUUAUUUCAUGCCAGAGUUGACAUCGACUUUUUAAGGAAGAAAGUGGAAUCUAAGUGGAGGAUCAGAGAAAGCACUGGGUUUGGAUGGAGGCUGAGGAAGGGAGAGGGCAGCUGUGUCAGGAGGAGUGGAGACAUGGGAAGUUCAGAGCUGGCCUGAAGUCCUGAUGGGAGAGCCGUGGGUUGGGCUGCACACUGCCAUCUGCCUCUGGCUGGGGGGACCAGAGACCCUGGCACACUUCACACUGGAGGUUCUUUCCUGUUGGGCUUGAUGUGCUAUUCAGAUGCAGCAGGAGCUGCCCAGGAACGUCCAGCUCAUUUCAUCACAGUCAGCUCUGGGGGAGAGGUCUGCCACAGAAUGUCCAUGGAGACUUGUCUUCAGCUGGGUUUUUGGUUUUAGAUUUGUUUUCUAACUUACUUUAACUUCCAGAUGAAAAGUGGUAUUUUGCCAGAUGGGGGCAGGCUAGGCUUUGUGUCCAAGGCCCACCAGGUUGUGGCCAGCUCUGAGGGAAGAGUGUACUCAAUCCUGGCCUGGCUGUCACAUGGAGCAGCCUGCAGUGUUUCCAGGCUGCUUAAGGCCAGAUGGCAGGCUGAGCUGGCUGCCCUGGGGUUGGGGUUCCCAAUUUCCCAGUGAAGGAAGCAGAGCUCCACUUCGCUGAACUCACACAGCGUCUGGCGCCAGGCCCCUGACUCAGAGACCAAUGAGGGAGGUUGAAGAGGAGUCUGGACCUGUCCUAAAGAAAGAGGGCAGCUGAUCCCGUGAGGGGAGCAGGAUUACGGCUGAAGAUCCUGGAGAAUCAACUGCUGCUGAGGGGGUGUUCGCAUCCACCUGUGGUGUGCUUACUAAAGGUGAUCUUGUGAAAUGUACUUUAUUUAUUCAUUUAUUAUUUUUUAAAUUUAAGUUCCGGUGUACAUGUGCUGAUCAUGCAGGAAGUUACAUAGGUAUACACGUGCCAUGGGGGUUUGCUGCAUCCAUCUCCUGGUCCUCUACAUUAGGUAUUUCUCCUCCCCAAUCUCCCCACCCACUGCUAUCCCUCCCUUAGCCCCCCACGCCUUUACAGGCCCUGAUGUGUGAUAUUCCCCUCCCUGUAUCCAUGUGUUCUCAUUGUUCAACCCCACUUAUGAGUGAGAAUAUGCAGUGUUUGGUUUUCUGUUCUUGUGUCAGUUUGCUGAGAAUGAUGAUUUCCAACUUUAUCCAUGAAUUUUGGAUUUUCACAUAAAAAAUAUAAUAACUGUUUUUUCUUUUUUCUUUCUAUUUUUUUUGAGAUGAAGUCUCACUCUGUUGCCCAGGGUGGAGUGCAGUGGUGCAAUCUUGGCUCACUGCAACCUCCAUUUCUUGGGUUCAAGUGAUUCUUCUGCCUCAGCCACCUGAGUAACCAGGAUCACAGGUGUGCACCACCAUGCCUUGCUAAAUUUUUUUAUAUUUUUAAUACAGACAGGUUUCACCAUGUUGGUCAGGCUGGUCUCGAAGUCCUGAUCCCAUGAUCUGCCUGCCUCGGCCUCCCAAAGUCCUGGGAUUAAAGGCAUGAGCCACUGUGCCUGGCCAACAACAUCUUUAAAAGUCGAAAGAUAGAAGAAUUUGAAAAUAAACCUCAACUGUAUUCUUUCCUCCUACCAGCUGCAGUUAGCCCAUCAUUAACAGAGUUAGCAGUAAGGAAGGCCAUGUUUUAGUGAUCUCUGAGACAGCUGAAGCCCGGGUUUCCUGGAGAUGUCACCACCUAUGAGCAUAGUAGGGAUAAAUAGACUCAGCAAACAGAGGAGGCGAUGUGCCUGUUAAUCUGUUCACCUGCAUUCCACCAGGAAAUAAGCCAUCUACAAAAAUGUGGCAUGAGAGGAACAACAAAUGCCAUGACAAGCACCAAAAUGACAGCCAGGCCAGAAGGAGGUCAUCUCCUCCCUCAGCACUGCCCACAGCCUGGAAUUUGCCCAUGAUGCUCAGCCAGCUCCUGCUUGGGGAGGCCUCCUCUGAUGACCUGUGUGGGCAGCUCACCUGGGGCAUCUCAACCAGGAUUCCAUACAUUGUCAAGGCAAGGAAGAUCCCUGGGUCCUCCGCUGUGACACAAGUGUGGACCCAGCACACUUCGUAUGCGUGGACAAAUUUGUAAAGAUGGACAAGGCAAUAUUUGAAUUUUUAAGUUACUUGCAAAUAUAUUAAAUUUUAACUUUUCAUAGUUUUUCAUAACAUGAGAUAUAAAAAUUAGAAGCAUAAAAAUAAACUGGGAGGUGGGGAAGGUGCUCUCGGUGACAUCACGGGUAGGGCGACCACUAUGUAAAUGAGGCAGCACAGGGGCUGCUGAUUCGCCACCUGCUCCUUCCCCAUGAAAGAGUUCCCUGCUGUGGGAGUGAGUCCAGGACUGCUGGUCGGACUUGAGAGUCCCAGCUUUGUGUCAGAGCUAGGAGGGCUCCGGACUGGGGUGCAUAGGCCAAGUCACCGUGUGUGAAAGGGUGAGGUGUAUGAGGCUGUGUCAGGCAGAAGCAUGUGAAUUUGUGUUGGCUAGUGAGUGACAUACCAUGGUUUUGAUCCUGGGUUUAUCUGGAUGAAGGCUUAUCCCUUAAACUUUGGAUAUGCUGACUUCUGUGGUUUUCCCAAAGGUGGAAAACUUGACUGCAUUAGCUGUGGUGGCAGGUGACUGUGUCCCUGUUUUUGCUUGUCCUUUAGUGUGAAAACCAGAGGGCAAUGUAAAGGGUUGUUGUCGGUUUCUGUGGGUUGGUAGCUUGCAUGGUGUUGUAAGUCAUUGUUAUAGCUGCAAAUAUCGGGUAUAGAAAGUAAUCAUUUGUUACCAUUCUUGCUGUCGCCCUUGUGAGUUUCUUUAACAGAAGCCAAGUGCAUGCAGAGCUCUUCUCUUCCUUUUGUAAGUGAAGUUAAUUUCUGCAGUGAUUGCUUCAUGGUCUCCAGUCUCUCAGGUUCUCACGCUCUGUGAAAACCUUAUGUUUUCUCAUAUCCCCCAGAAUCACCCUUCACAUAGCCUCUGCUUCUAACUGCAGCCCUUAUGAGAGUGUAGGAUUUCUGUGCCAGCAGGGAAUGUGUUCUCACCUCAUAGAGCCAGGUAGAAACUGUACACAGAUGGCCACUUCUUUAGGAUGAAAACAAAGCCUUUGGGGCUCUUAGUGUUCCUGUUGGGUGGUGGAUGUAGCACACUUACUUUGUGGGGUUGUGGAUGUAACACAAAUUUGUUUAAAUUGGAAAAAAUUCAAAUUUGUGGAGGUGAACAGUUCUCCCAGCACCCAAGUGCCCUUGCGCAUAUUCGCAUGGAGACCCACAAGUCAGAACUGUAGUCUCACCUGGUGGCAGAAUGCACUGCCAUCUACCCCAACUACCCGAAUUACUCAGCAAUAAAAUGAGAAACAUUACAGAAACAUGAGAUAGCAUGAAUAAUCUCAAAAACAUGCUGAGUGAUGGAGAGUGCAUCCUGUGUGGCGCCAUCAAGGUGCAUUUCUAGAACAGGAGAAACUAACUUGUAUAGUGACAGAAACUACAUCCAUCAUUGAUUGCUGGGAUCAAGGAGUUGGUGGGGGACUGACUGCAAAGGGCACAAAAGGACCUUGGAGUAAUAGCUACAUUAUCAAACUUGAAAUGGAUGUAUUGUACCAUAUUCAACUCACACCUUAAUCAACUUGAUUGUAAAAAGUCAUAAGAAAACCCUCCAAAUCUUAAUGUCUUCUACUUAGAGUAUGUACAUUCCUUUAGAAAAGUGUGUAAAGGAAGGAGUUCAGGAAUUCCUUCACUUCUGUUUCUGUUUCUUUGUCUGCAGUUAAGUUCAUGCUCUAUGAAAUGGAAUAUUUGUAAAAUAAAAAUAAAAUCUGAGCUCAAUUUUAUAAAAACA
This is a long non-coding RNA of Callithrix jacchus (white-tufted-ear marmoset), 9015 nucleotides long. RefSeq lists it as uncharacterized. Lineage: Eukaryota; Metazoa; Chordata; Mammalia; Primates; Cebidae. The record is from RefSeq and is a predicted model, not a curated record.